UACGUAGGGUGCGAGCGUUGUCCGGAUUUAUUGGGCGUAAAGGGUGCGUAGGCGGCUUUUUAAGUUUGGUGUGAAAUCUCCCGGCUCAACUGGGAGGGUGCGCCGAAUACUGAGAGGCUAGAGUGCGGGAGAGGAAAGUGGAAUUCCUGGUGUAGCGGUGAAAUGCGUAGAUAUCGGAAGGAACACCAGUGGCGAAAGCGGCUUCCUGGUCCAGCACCGACGUUCAGGCACGAAAGCGUGGGGAGCAAACAGG
Molecule: ribosomal RNA, 253 nt
Filed under: uncultured bacterium
Lineage: Bacteria
Description: partial 16S ribosomal RNA
Rfam family: Bacterial small subunit ribosomal RNA
Source: RNAcentral